Trichechus manatus latirostris (Florida manatee) is the source of this 71-nucleotide non-coding RNA. The record is from the annotation of a RefSeq genome assembly. NCBI's taxonomy places the organism in Eukaryota, Metazoa, Chordata, Mammalia, Sirenia, Trichechidae.
GUCCUCGUAGUAUAACAUAUUACAACGGUCUUGUAAACCGUAAAUGAAAACUCAUCUUCCGAGGACAUUCA